UUCCGGUUGAUCCUGCCGGAGGCCAUUGCUAUCGGAGUCCGAUUUAGCCAUGCUAGUCGAGCGAGGUUAGCCCUCGCGGCGAACAGCUCAGUAACACGUGGCCAAGCUACCCUGCAGAGGGGGACAGCGUCGGGAAACUGACGGGAAUCCCCCAUACCGGUCUCACGCUGGAAUGCCGAGACCGACAAACGCUCCGGCGCUGCAGGAUGCGGCUGCGGCCGAUUAGGUAGUCGGUGGGGUAACGGCCCACCGAGCCGAUAAUUGGUACGGGGUGUGAGAGCACGAGCCCGGAGACGGAAUCUGAGACAAGAUUCCGGGCCCUACGGGGCGCAGCAGGCGCGAAACCUUUACACUGCACGAACGUGCGAUAAGGGGACUCCGAGUGCGAGGGCAUACAGUCCUCGCUAUUGUGUACCGUAGGGUGGUACACGACCAAGAGCUGGGCAAGACCGGUGCCAGCCGCCGCGGUAAUACCGGCAGCUCGAGUGAUGGCCGAUUUUAUUGGGCCUAAAGCGUCCGUAGCUGGCCCUGCAAGUCCGUCGGGAAAUCCACUCGCCUAACGAGUGGGCGUCCGGCGGAAACUACAGGGCUUGGGACCGGAAGACUUGAGGGGUACGUCUGGGGUAGGAGUGAAAUCCUGUAAUCCUGGACGGACCGCCGAUAGCGAAAGCACCUCAAGACGACGGAUCCGACAGUGAGGGACGAAAGCUAGGGUCUCGAACCGGAUUAGAUACCCGGGUAGUCCUAGCUGUAAACGAUGUUCGCUAGAUGUGGCACAGGCUACGUGCCUGUGCUGUGUCGUANGNGCCGAGAAGCGAACCGCCUGGGAAGUACGUCCGCAAGGAUGAAACUUAAAGGAAUUGGC
This 865-nucleotide ribosomal RNA is filed under the name uncultured archaeon. RNAcentral describes it as "bacterial SSU rRNA". It matches the Rfam family "Archaeal small subunit ribosomal RNA", at positions 1 to 869 of the family's 1478-position model. The record is from RNAcentral.